Molecule: long non-coding RNA, 559 nt
Filed under: Mus spicilegus (steppe mouse)
Lineage: Eukaryota; Metazoa; Chordata; Mammalia; Rodentia; Muridae
Description: lncRNA (ENSMSIG00000021022.1)
Source: RNAcentral
GGUUCUAGCCUGUGCCCCGCUCCAGGCCCUGAUAAUGAGUGUCUUUGUGCAUCCCUGUUUCUCCUUUCCACAUGGGAGCUGGAGAGUGGAUCAACACGUGGCGGUGUUUGCACUGAACCCUGGCUCUGCUGCCCACGAGUCUGUAGCGAGUUACUCAGGGGGCCUCCGAGACUGGCCCAUGCAUGCUGAUGCUGGCUCAUGCCAAUUACAGGCUGAGUGAUGGAGCAGCCUUGUGUCAUCUCGCUGGUGCGUGGCAACAGCAGGAGGAAAGAAGAGAUAGGAGUGGCCCCUCUCCCCAUCACAGCCAUGGAGGUGACAAGAGAUUGCCAGAGACAUGAGCUUGACUCUAGAUGGAGAAUGAUGGCCAAGGCUUCCGAGUCAGUAAGAAAGAAAGAACAAGGCCAGGGAUGGGGGACAUUCCAGUUUGAGUCACAGUUGCUGCUGACCUACCGGCCACUGUGAGUCACCAGGCAAAACCCAGAGUCAGUGUGGGAAGCGACUGACCAACAGCAAGGACACAGGUAGGGCCAUGGUUGUGGCCAGUUUUGCUGACUUAAAA